This is a non-coding RNA of Anolis sagrei ordinatus, 521 nucleotides long. The record is from RefSeq and is a predicted model, not a curated record. Lineage: Eukaryota; Metazoa; Chordata; Lepidosauria; Squamata; Anolidae.
GUAGCGCUUGAGGCACUCCUCGCAGACGGGCUUCUUGCAGCAGGGCAGCGGCUUGAGGGGCUUCUCCUCCAGGCAGACGCGGCAGAUGAUUUGCACUCCGGUGGGAAGCUUCCUGUCAACAAGAUGAAGUAUCAUAGUGAUGAAGAUGGAAAAUAAUGUUGGGGCAAUAACACACCCGUUUGACACCUGAUUCCACCUUAAAUGGGUCACUUUGGGAACAGCUGCUGUUGAAAUUUAAAGCACCCACUUCAAGUGACAGACGUCCAGGGUGGUGGAUUGUUUAACUUUUUCACCUCAGUGCUUGGGGACAGGAGGGUCUGGCCACAUCAUCCUGGAGUGCUCCACUCAACCAUGCUGCAUAGUUCAGAGGGACUCCCUGCAGUUUAAGGUGGGUGCCAGAGAGCUUUUGUGAUCAUAGUAAUUGUGAAUAUUUGCAUAGCUCUUACAGAUCCAUAAUUCUAGGUUGCAAAUCUGUAACUGAAAUGCAGAAUGCUAGGCAAUAUUUUUUAAAAUAUAUAUCA